GGGCUUCGUUUUGGGCCAAGAAACUUCUUCUCGCAUAAAUACUGGCACAGUUCGUCGUGAACGAGGGCGAAACCCUUCUCUUUCACUCUCUCUCAAGCUGCUGCCUGCUUUGCACCGGCGGUCAGACUCAAAAAGUCUUUAAUCAUUCUAUAUGAACAAAGACUCCAAGCAUGUCUAGUAACCCGACUUUCGUAGAUGAGGAUGCUUCUUCAGGAUCAGGAGAUGAGGCAAACAUGUUGGAUGGACACAAUAAACCUCAAUCUGUGACGCCAAAUUCAGGUCGACGCAAGAGAAGUCGUAAAGCUACAGGUGAUGCAAUAGUUGAUGCUAUGCUUGAAAUAGCAGCCGCUUCAAAGAUGAGGGCAGCCGCAAUCACGAGGAAUGAGGAGCGUUUUACUAUAAGCAAAUGCAUAAGACUGUUGGACGAGAUGCAAGGUGUUGAUCAAAGUCUCUAUUUUUAUGCUUUGGAUUUAUUUGAGAAUCCGACAUCAAGAGAAACUUUCGUAGCGCUUAAGGUUGAGAGACGAUUAGCGUGGUUGCAGGGAAAGUUUAGAGCUUCCUCAAGUACAUCAGCCUGAGGAAUAUGAUGUGCUUUUUUGCCCUUUUACUAAUGGGUCCUCUACUUUAUCUCAGAUUUGUAUUGAUAUUAGUGAACUUUGCUCUUUUGAUGUUGUAUUUGGUUUAACAGUUGUGAUUAACGUUUUUCUUGAAAUAUAAUCCUUGUUUUUCUUUUCCCAUGAUCUACUGAUGUUGAAAAAUCAUGUAACCAUGCAUGUGUGUUGUAGUAUACAUCCCUAUGUUUCAAAAUCUAUUUGUACAGAUUCAUCAGCCAUUGUGGAUGACUUAAACGUUGAAUUGGAUGAGAUGGAAUUAGUUGCAGCAGCUGCUUGUUACCACUACAAUAACAGUAUUACAAAGCGUCCUGUUCAUAGCUUGUCUCCUUAACGAUCUGGAUUCUAGGCUGAAGUAUGCAAUGGCCAUGGUGUUCUGUGUCAAGAAAUGUUCAGGGUGGACAAAAACAUGUUUCACAAGUUGAGCAAAUGCUCUUCGACAGAGAGGCAUGUUAUGUGACACGGCAGGACUGCAAAUCCUUUUUUCUCAGUUCAAAUCCAGGUGUCGCCUAAUCAACAAAAAGCUCUAAAUCUUUUUUUCUCUUCUGUUCUGUUGAUACUUGUUUGAUUCUGUUAUGAUAGAGUAGCAGUUGGCCAUUUUCUUGAAUAUUGUUGGCCGCAAUGUAUGUAACAGAGUAAUUCAAGAGCAUUUUCAGCAUUUUGUUUAAACAGUAAUUAGACACUUAAAUAAUGUAUUAAUGACAAUCAAGUCAUUAUCGCAAGUUCCUUCAAACAUCACCUCACAUUACUCCAGCAGAGAUCCUGCAAAGCAAUAGAUUCUACCCAUACUUCGAGGUGCCUGCACAAGAUCAAUCUAGAUUUCGUAACAGAGGAUGUUCCAACACAAAGUAGCCUGCAGAUUUGAUCUCCAGUUUAUAUGUGUUUAUCCUGGUUGGGAAGGCUCAGCUCCAGAUUCUCGGGUGUUGAGAGCUGUCGUUGGGGAUCCUGAUCAGAACUUCCCUCAAGUUCCUGAAUGUUGAUAAUGGUUGCUAAGCUUCCUAUAUGAUGCGUUUCCUUAUUUUAAUGGUGAUAAAUCCUAUUCAUGUAUCAUUUAUAUGCCAGGAAUGCAAAGGAUUGUUCAAUCACAGACAUGCAUCUUUGAGCAAUGCCAUGCUGAAGUCUUUAAAUGUUCUAAAAACAAGAUUCCCAAUUCUCAAACUUCCUCCUCAGUAUGCUUUUCACAAGAAGAGGGAUCUUGUCAUAGUUGCAUGUGUAUUGCAGAAUCACAUUCGACCAGAGGAGAAAAAUCAGGUUGUUUAACAAAGAAACUCGAUUGCGGCAGCAAUGUGGAAUGAUUUCAUCAAUAAAUAGGAUGAAUGUGACCAUCAACAUUCUGCUCCCGGUUGUAUGUAGGACAUAUUUUGAUAAAACUCUAUGUUUGUUUUUUCGUCCCUACUCCACUGCCUGGUUUUGGAGGGGACUCUUUUGUUCGCCUUCUAUCUUUAUCUGUAGAAUUUUGCUGAAGUACUCGAAAAUGCUUGACCAAGGAGGUGACAUUCUCUCACAUUGCCGCGGGUCCCAUUUGAAUAAAAAAAAUGCCGACCUCCUGUGUAUGUGUGUAUUCGGUCAAGCUCUAUGUCACCGCCUUUGUUGCUGUAGCUUUGUCCUUAUUAGUAAUGCUAGUAUAACGUCAACUCUUGCUAGACAUACGUUUUUAGCAGUCAGUCUGAAGUCAUUUUGUCAAGAUGCAAGAGAGCUCUAUUGAUAGGAUUAAGAUUACAAUGUCAAAUGGAGGUUAAUAUUC
Molecule: RNA transcript, 2355 nt
Organism: Olea europaea var. sylvestris
Lineage: Eukaryota; Viridiplantae; Streptophyta; Magnoliopsida; Lamiales; Oleaceae
Exons: 4
Source: RefSeq, a predicted model, not a curated record